ACGACUCUCGGCAACGGAUAUCUUGGCUCUUGCAUCGAUGAAGAACGUAGCGAAAUGCGAUACUUGGUGUGAAUUGCAGAAUCCCGUGAACCAUCGAGUCUUUGAACGCAAGUUGCGCCCGAGACCUUUAGGUUGAGGGCACACCUGCUUGGGCGUCAUGCU
RNAcentral lists this ribosomal RNA (162 nucleotides) under Asarum caudigerum. RNAcentral describes it as "5.8S rRNA". It matches the Rfam family "5.8S ribosomal RNA". Rfam says of the family: 5.8S ribosomal RNA (5.8S rRNA) is a component of the large subunit of the eukaryotic ribosome. It is transcribed by RNA polymerase I as part of the 45S precursor that also contains 18S and 28S rRNA. Functionally, it is thought that 5.8S rRNA may be involved in ribosome translocation. The record is from RNAcentral. Lineage: Eukaryota; Viridiplantae; Streptophyta; Magnoliopsida; Piperales; Asaraceae.